GGGCAUGUGGUGUAGUUGGUUAUCACGCUCGCUUAGCAUCUUGCCUUUGCAAGGUCGUGUGCGAGAGGGGUCCGGUUCGAUCCCGGACAUGUCCA
Postia placenta MAD-698-R-SB12 is the source of this 95-nucleotide non-coding RNA. The record is from the annotation of a RefSeq genome assembly. NCBI's taxonomy places the organism in Eukaryota, Fungi, Basidiomycota, Agaricomycetes, Polyporales, Adustoporiaceae.